UAGUCCACGCCGUAAACGAUGGAUACUAGCUGUCUGGAACCUUGAGUUCUGGGCGGCCAAGCGAAAGUGAUAAGUAUCCCACCUGGGGAGUACGUUCGCAAGAAUGAAACUCAAAGGAAUUGACGGGGGCCCGCACAAGCGGUGGAGCAUGUGGUUUAAUUCGAUGAUACGCGAGGAACCUUACCAGGGCUUAAAUGUAGAUUGACAGGUUUAGAGAUAGACUUUUCUUCGGACAAUUUACAAGGUGCUGCAUGGUUGUCGUCAGCUCGUGCCGUGAGGUGUCAGGUUAAGUCCUAUAACGAGCGCAACCCCUGUUGUUAGUUGCCAGCGAGUAGUGUCGGGAACUCUAGCAAGACUGCCGGUGCAAACCGCGAGGAAGGUGGGGAUGACGUCAAAUCAUCACGGCCCUUACGUCCUGGGCCACACACGUGCUACAAUGGUAGGUACAGAGAGCAGCCACUGGGUGACCAGGAGCGAAUCUAUAAAGCCUAUCACAGUUCGGAUCGG
Molecule: ribosomal RNA, 507 nt
Filed under: uncultured bacterium
Lineage: Bacteria
Description: bacterial SSU rRNA
Rfam family: Bacterial small subunit ribosomal RNA
Source: RNAcentral